Molecule: long non-coding RNA, 249 nt
Organism: Ailuropoda melanoleuca (giant panda)
Lineage: Eukaryota; Metazoa; Chordata; Mammalia; Carnivora; Ursidae
Exons: 4
Source: RefSeq, a predicted model, not a curated record
CUGAGACGGUCACCUUCCUGCGCAGAGCAGCGGCUGGAUAACGAGGUUUGUGUUCGCGCGUCUUCGAAGCAGGACCUGAGGACACUUCGGAGCUGGCACAGAGAACCACUGCGACCCAGCUUUAUGUCCAAUGCUAUAUCAGGAAUGGUGAACUUGAAUGUCUGCAGAGGCCACCGGCGGGAAAGACAAAGGGCAAAGCCAGCCGGAGGCGAGAAAUAGCAGGCUUCACGGCAAGUGCAGAACCCAAUG